RNAcentral lists this ribosomal RNA (274 nucleotides) under uncultured bacterium. RNAcentral describes it as "partial 16S ribosomal RNA". It matches the Rfam family "Bacterial small subunit ribosomal RNA", at positions 523 to 796 of the family's 1533-position model. The record is from RNAcentral.
AUACGGAGGGUGCAAGCGUUAUUCGGAAUCACUGGGCGUAAAGGACGCGUAGGCGGGUUGGCAAGUCAGAUGUGAAAUCCUACAGCUUAACUGUAGAACUGCAUUUGAAACUGCUAACCUAGAGUAUGGGAGGGGGAGAUGGAAUUAGUGGUGUAGGGGUAAAAUCCGUAGAUAUCACUAGGAAUACCGAAAGCGAAGGCGAUCUCCUGGAACAUAACUGACGCUGAGGCACGAAAGCGUGGGGAGCAAACAGGAUUAGAAACCCUAGUAGUCC